AAUUUGUGGAACAUUUUUACUUGAAGAAGCUAACAACACUUAGGAUACAUGCAAUCAAAACUGCAAACUAACAUUUAACGAAUGUUCUCCAACAAAUAGUUGUGUUUUCAACUAUUGAGAAUAUGCAAUAUUUUGUCAUUGUUUUAAUGAUUUUCGCGUAUAGUGAAGCCAACUCAUGCAACCCAUGUCGUUGUUAUAGGACUAGGAUAGACUGUUCGCAUAAAAAUAUAUCUUUGAUCCCAAAUUUUAGUUAUUUUGAAUCUGUCCGUUACAUAGACUUC
This 281-nucleotide long non-coding RNA is filed under the name Mytilus galloprovincialis (Mediterranean mussel). Lineage: Eukaryota; Metazoa; Mollusca; Bivalvia; Mytilida; Mytilidae. The record is from RNAcentral.